RNAcentral lists this long non-coding RNA (326 nucleotides) under Malus domestica (apple). RNAcentral's name for it is "long non-coding RNA (MDOM_LNC005725)". Lineage: Eukaryota; Viridiplantae; Streptophyta; Magnoliopsida; Rosales; Rosaceae. The record is from RNAcentral.
AGCUAAACCCCCUUUGGUGGCCGGCCUUUUGUGUGGUUUUUGAGAGAGAGAGGUUUUCUUCUUUUGCGAAAAAUCAACACACAAAACCCUAAUAAAUUUUUUCACUAUAAAGUUCCUUUUAUAGCACAAAGAACAAGUCAACAACUUGACUUCCUCUCUCUCCCUUUCCCUUUAUUUGGCCGGCCCCUUUUAGUGUUGUUUGGGCUUUGGGCUUUUAUUAUUUCAAGUCAUCCUAUGCUUAAAUAAAAGCCUAAUGGGUUUGGGCUUAAUGGGCCCAUAUUAACCCGAACUUUUCUUUAAGCCCAAAACGAUCUUUUAUCGCUUUU